AUGAACUAGCUAACUGAAAUCUCAACAUCACUUAUGUGGGAUUGGGAUAACUUUAAGGAAAUAAUGAUUCCUCUAAGGUAUAGUGUUGUCCAAAUUACUGGUGCCAGAAGACUCGGUAACACCAGAAACGCAAACGUUAGUCGUCUUAAACAGGCGUAAAGGGUGUGUAGGCUGCUUUGAAAACUUUAUUUUUUAAUAGCUCUGUUUUCUUUUUAACAGUAAAAAAUAAAAUUAAUUAAAGCUAGAAUCAAAUAGAGGAUAAACCAAAUAAUGCUUCGUGUAGGGAUGAUAUCCUUAGAUACUUGGUGGAAUACUAAAGGUGAAAGCUUUUUAUCUAAUAAUGAUUGACGCUGAGAAACGAAGGUGAGAAUAGGAAAUAGGAUUAGAUACCCAGCUACCUCUCACUGUCAACGAUGAAUGGUAGUUAUUAGUUUUAGUACAAAUUGGUAACGAUGUUAACGCGAUAACCAUUUCCGCCUUGCGAGUACGGUUGCAAAACUGAAACCAAAAAAAUUAGUCG
Molecule: ribosomal RNA, 520 nt
Filed under: Crucibulum laeve
Lineage: Eukaryota; Fungi; Basidiomycota; Agaricomycetes; Agaricales; Nidulariaceae
Description: mitochondrial SSU rRNA
Rfam family: Bacterial small subunit ribosomal RNA
Source: RNAcentral